This 57-nucleotide small RNA is filed under the name Orbus hercynius. RNAcentral describes it as "Pseudomonas sRNA P26". It matches the Rfam family "Pseudomonas sRNA P26". From Rfam's summary of the family: P26 is conserved across many Gammaproteobacteria species and appears to be consistently located between the DNA directed RNA polymerase (beta subunit) and 50S ribosomal protein L7/L12 genes. Lineage: Bacteria; Pseudomonadati; Pseudomonadota; Gammaproteobacteria; Orbales; Orbaceae. The record is from Rfam by way of RNAcentral.
GAUUUAUUAUGUGCAGCCUGAAAAGGCUGAUGGCUGGAGGUUUUAUACCUCCAGCCU